AACGCGAAGAACCUUACCUGCUCUUGACAUCCUGCGAACUGUGCCGAGAGGCGCGGGUGCCGAAAGGAACGCAGAGACAGGUGCUGCAUGGCUGUCGUCAGCUCGUGUUGUGAGAUGUUGGGUUAAGUCCCGUAACGAGCGCAACCCUUGCCCUUAGUUGCCAUCAAGUAAAGUUGGGGACUCUAAGGGGACUGCCGGUGAUGAACCGGAGGAAGGCGGGGACGACGUCAAGUCAUCAUGGCCUUUAUGGGCAGGGCAACACACGUGCUACAAUGGGGCGUACAGAGGGUCGCGAACCCGCGAGGGGGAGCCAAUCCCAGAAAGCGCCUCGUAGUCCGGAUUGGGGUCUGCAAUUCGACCCCAUGAAGUUGGAAUCGCUAGUAAUCGCGGAUCAGCAUUGCCGCGGUGAAUACGUUCCCGGGCCUUGUACACACCGCUCGCGA
RNAcentral lists this ribosomal RNA (443 nucleotides) under uncultured bacterium. Its description in RNAcentral is "bacterial SSU rRNA". It matches the Rfam family "Bacterial small subunit ribosomal RNA", at positions 958 to 1399 of the family's 1533-position model. The record is from RNAcentral.